CCGGUGAGUGAAGAAGGCCUUCGGGUUGUAAAGCUCUUUCGGUGGGGACGAAAUGGUUUGUGCUAAUACCACGAACUGAUGACGGUACCCGAAGAAGAAGCACCGGCUAACUACGUGCCAGCAGCCGCGGUAAUACGUAGGGUGCAGGCGUUAAUCGGAAUUACUGGGCGUAAAGCGUGCGCAGGCGGUUUGCUAAGACAGAUGUGAAAUCCCCGGGCUUAACCUGGGAACUGCGUUUGUAACUGGCAGGCUGGAGUGUGGCAGAGGGGGGUGGAAUUCCAAGUGUAGCAGUGAAAUGCGUAGAUAUUUGGAGGAACACCGAUGGCGAAGGCAGCCCCCUGGGCUAACACUGACGCUCAUGCACGAAAGCGUGGGGAGCAAACAGGAUUAGAUACCCUGGUAGUCCACGCCCUAAACUAUGUCAACUGGUUGUCGGGGGAGCAAUCCCUUGGUAACGAAGCUAACGCGUGAAGUUGACCGACUGGGGAGUACGGCCGCAAGGUUAAAACUCAAAGGAAUUGACGGGGAACCGCACAAGUGGUGGAUUAUGUGGAUUAAUUCG
This 562-nucleotide ribosomal RNA is filed under the name uncultured archaeon. RNAcentral describes it as "bacterial SSU rRNA". It matches the Rfam family "Bacterial small subunit ribosomal RNA", at positions 398 to 953 of the family's 1533-position model. The record is from RNAcentral.